RNAcentral lists this ribosomal RNA (486 nucleotides) under uncultured bacterium. RNAcentral's name for it is "partial 16S ribosomal RNA". It matches the Rfam family "Bacterial small subunit ribosomal RNA", at positions 28 to 507 of the family's 1533-position model. The record is from RNAcentral.
GAUGAACGCUAGCGGCAGGCUUAACACAUGCAAGUCGAGGGGCAGCGCGGGAUAGCAAUAUCCUGGCGGCGACCGGCGGAAGGGUGCGUAACGCGUGAGCGACAUGCCCGUUGCCCGGGGACAACCGGUGGAAACGCCGACUAAUCCCCGAUGGGAUAUUGUGCCGCAUGGCACGAUAUUGAAAGUUACGGCGGCGACGGAUUGGCUCGCGUCCGAUUAGCUUGUUGGCGGGGUAACGGCCCACCAAGGCUGCGAUCGGUAGGGGUUCUGAGAGGAAGGCCCCCCACAAUGGGACUGAGACACGGCCCAUACUCCUACGGGAGGCAGCAGUGAGGAAUAUUGGUCAAUGGGCGGAAGCCUGAACCAGCCAUGCCGCGUGCGGGAAAGAGGCCCUAUGGGCUGUGAACCGCUUUUGCCUGGGGGCAAUAAGGGCGUCGCGCACGUCCGAUGAGAGUACCAGGCGAAUAAGCAUCGGCUAACUCCGUG